Molecule: ribosomal RNA, 490 nt
Filed under: uncultured bacterium
Lineage: Bacteria
Description: partial 16S ribosomal RNA
Rfam family: Bacterial small subunit ribosomal RNA
Source: RNAcentral
AUUGAACGCUGGCGGCAGGCCUAACACAUGCAAGUCGAACGGUAACAGGAAGAAGCUUGCUUCUUUGCUGACGAGUGGCGGACGGGUGAGUAAUGUCUGUGAAACUGCCUGAUGGAGGGGGAUAACUACUGGAAACGGUAGCUAAUACCGCAUAACGUCGCAAGACCAAAAAGGGGGACCUUCGGGCCUCUUGCCAUCGGAUGUGCCCAGAUGGGAUUAGCUAGUAGGUGGGGUAACGGCUCACCUAGGCGACGAUCCCUAGCUGGUCUGAGAGGAUGACCAGCCACACUGGAACUGAGACACGGUGCAGACUCCUACGGGAGGCAGCAGUGGGGAAUAUUGCACAAUGGGCGCAAGCCUGAUGCAGCCAUGCCGCGUGUAUGAAGAAGGCCUUCGGGUUGUAAAGUACUUUCAGCGGGGAGGAAGGGAGUAAAGUUAAUACCUUGGCUCAUUGACGUUACCCGAAGAAGAAGCACCGGCUAACUCCGUG